UUGGUGGGGUGAUGGCCUACCAAGGCGACGACGGGUAGCCGGCCUGAGAGGGCGACCGGCCACACUGGGACUGAGACACGGCCCAGACUCCUACGGGAGGCAGCAGUGGGGAAUAUUGCGCAAUGGGCGGAAGCCUGACGCAGCGACGCCGCGUGGGGGAUGACGGCCUUCGGGUUGUAAACCUCUUUCAGCAGGGACGAAGCUAACGUGACGGUACCUGCAGAAGAAGCGCCGGCUAACUACGUGCCAGCAGCCGCGGUAACACGUAGGGCGCAAGCGUUGUCCGGAAUUAUUGGGCGUAAAGAGCUCGUAGGCGGCCUGUUGCGUCUGCUGUGAAAUCCCGGGGCUUAACCCCGGGCUUGCAGUGGAUACGGGCAGGCUAGAGGCAGGCAGGGGAGAAUGGAAUUCCCGGUGUAGCGGUGAAAUGCGCAGAUAUCGGGAGGAACACCGGUGGCGAAGGCGGUUCUCUGGGCCUGUACUGACGCUGAGGAGCGAAAGCGUGGGGAGCGAACAGGAUUAGAUACCCUGGUAGUCCACGCCGUAAACGUUGGGCGCUAGGUGUGGGGUCCUUCCACGGACUCUGUGCCGCAGCUAACGCAUUAAGCGCCCCGCCUGGGGGAGUACAAAAAA
Molecule: ribosomal RNA, 630 nt
Filed under: uncultured bacterium
Lineage: Bacteria
Description: bacterial SSU rRNA
Rfam family: Bacterial small subunit ribosomal RNA
Source: RNAcentral